RNAcentral lists this ribosomal RNA (469 nucleotides) under uncultured bacterium. RNAcentral describes it as "partial 16S ribosomal RNA". It matches the Rfam family "Bacterial small subunit ribosomal RNA", at positions 28 to 508 of the family's 1533-position model. The record is from RNAcentral.
GACGAACGCUGGCGGCGUGCUUAACACAUGCAAGUCGAACGGAAAGGCCCUGCUUUUGUGGGGUGCUCGAGUGGCGAACGGGUGAGUAACACGUGAGUAACCUGCCCUUGACUUUGGGAUAACUUCAGGAAACUGGGGCUAAUACCGGAUAGGAGCUCCUGCUGCAUGGUGGGGGUUGGAAAGUUUCGGCGGUUGGGGAUGGACUCGCGGCUUAUCAGCUUGUUGGUGGGGUAGUGGCUUACCAAGGCUUUGACGGGUAGCCGGCCUGGGAGGGUGACCGGCCACACUGGGAACGGGGGCCCGCCCAGACUCCUACGGGGGGCAGCAGUUGGGAAAUUUUCAAAAAGGGCGGGAACCUCAGGCAGCAACGCCCUGUGCGGGAAGACAGCCUUCGGGUUGCAAACCGCGUUUCCCCGUGAAUGAGCGCGAGUGACGGUAAUGGGGAAAGAAGGACCGGCUUACUACGUUC